RNAcentral lists this ribosomal RNA (119 nucleotides) under Lupinus angustifolius (narrow-leaved blue lupine). The record is from RNAcentral. Lineage: Eukaryota; Viridiplantae; Streptophyta; Magnoliopsida; Fabales; Fabaceae.
AGAUGCGAUCAUACCAGCACUAAUUCACCGGAUCCCAUCAGAACUCCGCAGUGAAGCCUGCUUUGGUGAGAGUAGUAAUAGGAUGGGUGACCUCCUGGGAAGUCCUCGUGUUGCACCUU